ACAACGGCCAUGCCCACGCCACGGACGAGUGAGGUCCGCGUGAGGAGUUCAGCUAUCGAGCAAGAGCCAGUUCCAGGGGAGGUGCAUCAGGGAAAGUUUCAUGCUGCUUGCUGGCGAGCGGCCAUAUCCAGGCGAGGUGAGGAGUUCGUCGGUGAGGCUGUCUCCCCUUCUGCGCAAUCUGGUCCGGAGAUAUCGAAUCCUUCCUGAUUUGGCUUCCUUUCUGCCCUCCACUCUUCUCUGGAGCUCUGGGUUCAGCCGCCGAGCCCCAUGUACCUCUAUUAUGAGGGCAUACCAGACUCUGCACAAGCUCUGAGGAACUGCAACCACUUCUACUAGGUGCCCUGCCACUCCCAAGUUUACAAGUAAAGGAAACAAUCAAGAAUCUUAUGUGUCAGAGGAGGUGAGGAGGGCGAUAUAUUCAAUCAAUUGUACUAGCUAUCAACAUCGAUGAACAAAUCAAAGGCACACCUGAAGCACUCGCAGCUACAGAACAUCAUACUCUAAAUUUUGUCCCAAGAAAGAAAUCGACAAAACUGGAACAAAUUCAGGCAUCUCAGUUGAGCAACUACUGAACCGAAUCGAGAAGGAUUUUAUACCUUGAAGGCGUAGGCUUCAGCCUCGAACAGAGCCCUCUUCAGCUCGCCGCUCCAGUACCCCUCUGGAAGCACAACCAUAACAGCACCGCAUCAGCUCGAUUCGAUCCACUCUUCCACCGUCGGCGAGACCCUUUGUGGUUUCUCUCACCUCGGAGGCGACGACAGAGGGAGAGAAUGCCUGGAUACCGGUGGUGCCCGUGAGCGCGGCCGUCACGUCCGCGACGACGACAGUAGCGGUGGAGGCACAAUCGUACAUGAACUCCAUCUCCUCCUCCUCCUCCAACGGCAUUGUUCCCGCAUCGAGGUGAGGGGGAUGUCGCUGUCAGGCGGAGCUCGUGUAGGCAGGCCGGUGGUCGGCGGAAGGUGGUCGUAGUCUUUCGCGGUGUGCUGUUUAGCUUAGCGUGACCAGGCAUGGCAGUGCGCAACAGGGGGGUGGACAGGUGGUGCGCAGAAGGGGGUAGGUGGGUCGACAGGUGGUGUUGGUGACUUGCUGCUCCUCAUUUAUUUAUUUCUCUUUGUUUUUCUUUCUAAAUAGUAGAACUGAAGGUAGAACACAUUUGGUGUUGAAAUUAUUUGUGUAGUUGUGCCAUUCUAUAUAUCUUCAUAAAUGGAAUCUCAAGGCUGAGAUUAUAAUGCUACUACUGAUAUGGGGGGUAGCAGAGUAUGGUGUUAUGAAGAUAUACCUUUGUCAACAAAUAUGUUGUUGCAUUU
This is a long non-coding RNA of Triticum dicoccoides, 1307 nucleotides long. RefSeq lists it as uncharacterized. The record is from RefSeq and is a predicted model, not a curated record. The transcript is spliced from 3 exons. NCBI's taxonomy places the organism in Eukaryota, Viridiplantae, Streptophyta, Magnoliopsida, Poales, Poaceae.